RNAcentral lists this long non-coding RNA (564 nucleotides) under Pan troglodytes (chimpanzee). RNAcentral's name for it is "long non-coding RNA NONPTRT005106". The record is from RNAcentral. Lineage: Eukaryota; Metazoa; Chordata; Mammalia; Primates; Hominidae.
CAGGUGAGGAACCAGGCCCUGGGAGAAGAAAAGCGAGGUGCUCUAGGUCACAGUGCCAGCCAGAUCAGGUCUUUUUACUCCUGGGACCAAGUCAGACAGAUGGUCUUGUCUCCAUUUUGGGAGCUGGGCUCCAGAGAGAAAAGAACUCCAACUCCAAAUACCUGCGUAAACAGCCAGUAGUCUGGUUUGAAAAAAAAAAAAAAGAAGUCGUUUGAACCAAAAUGGAAACCCAUUUCAGCCACUAAAAUCCUGAGAAAAGAAGCUCUGAUGUCAAGAGCCACAGUCCUACCAGGCCAGCAGCAUAUACUCCUGUGGAAGGAUGAUGGAGUCAUGGAAUGAAUCUUGGUGGCUUCAAAGUAUAACCUUCCGCAGAGUGCACAACCAUGCCUGCACCCGCAGAAGAGAAAAAAUCAAUCACACGCGGGAAGAGCCCUCCUCCCACUCUUUGCAAUGCUUUUUGUCCCCAACUCUAUCCCCUGCCCAUACUUCGCUCAUUACCCCCAGGCCAUUUGGUUUCCAUUUCCAUGUUUUGAGCCAAAUGGCGUUCUUGCAAACCUUACCAGU